GACGAACGCUGGCGGCGUGCUUAACACAUGCAAGUCGAACGGAAAGGCCCUGCCUUUGUGGGGUGCUCGAGUGGCGAACGGGUGAGUAACACGUGAGUAACCUGCCCUUGACUUUGGGAUAACUUCAGGAAACUGGGGCUAAUACCGGAUAGGAGCUCCUGCUGCAUGGUGGGGGUUGGAAAGUUUCGGCGGUUGGGGAUGGACUCGCGGCUUAUCAGCUUGUUGGUGGGGUAGUGGCUUACCAAGGCUUUGACGGGUGGCCGGCCUGAGAGGGUGACCGGCCACAUUGGGACUGAGAUACGGCCCAGACUCCUACGGGAGGCAGCAGUGGGGAAUAUUGCACAAUGGGCGGAAGCCUGAUGCAGCAACGCCGCGUGCGGGAUGACGGCCUUCGGGUUGUAAACCGCUUUCGCCUGUGACGAAGCGUGAGUGACGGUAAUGGGUAAAGAAGCACCGGCUAACUACGUG
RNAcentral lists this ribosomal RNA (468 nucleotides) under uncultured bacterium. RNAcentral's name for it is "partial 16S ribosomal RNA". It matches the Rfam family "Bacterial small subunit ribosomal RNA", at positions 28 to 507 of the family's 1533-position model. The record is from RNAcentral.